RNAcentral lists this long non-coding RNA (745 nucleotides) under Neodiprion lecontei (redheaded pine sawfly). RNAcentral's name for it is "uncharacterized LOC124293485". The record is from RNAcentral. Lineage: Eukaryota; Metazoa; Arthropoda; Insecta; Hymenoptera; Diprionidae.
CAUCCGGCCAAUUACCCCUUCGGGAUCCUUCCCGUUUCCCAGUGGCAAUGGACCCUGCCUUGACCACCAGAAACUCAUCGCUUGGCAGGAACAUAUCGCGGCAUGCAAGCGGUUGGAGUAUCAAAGACAUUUAGCUAUCGAAGAGGCAGCGAGGGCGCUACAACAUCACGAGACUCUUGUUAAACAGAGCAAGAAACUAAGGCCGAUGAAGUUUCCUUGCCCCCACUGCAACGUCGCAUUCAGUAACAACGGUCAACUCAAAGGACACAUCCGGAUCCACACCGUAAACAACAAUCAGCAAGGGAUUUUGAAUCCAGCGGGGAUUCGGGUGGAUCCCAACCAGCCAUCACCUCCUGGCGUUGAGGCGCAACCUCAAUAUCCCGGAGGUGUCAAUGUACAGCUGAGGCCCCCGGUCCAGCUACAGCAGCCGGGGGUGGCGUGAACGGUCAACCCUCCUACGCGCGGCCCCAGUGGUAUGGAUGGCGGCAGGAGCCUCAUCAGCCCCUAACGCCGAUCCCGGAACUGUAAGGCGAGCGACAGGGGCUGUUGAUGGCGGCCGCUGUUCAGCCGCCACCGCCGCCACUCCAGUCGCCGACGAUGCUGGUUCCGCCGCCCUCUCCUGCUGCCUCUUCGGCGGCGAGGCCUGCUCGCGCGGCUAGCCCGACGCUAGAGGAACGGAUCACGGAGGCCGUCCGGGUGGCGGUGGCAGCCGCUAUGGCCACCGGCGGACCCGUUUCUCGAGGGG